ACGAACGCUGGCGGCGUGCUUAACACAUGCAAGUCGAGCGGUAAGGCCCUUUCGGGGGUACACGAGCGGCGAACGGGUGAGUAACACGUGGGUGACCUGCCCUCAGCUCUGGGAUAAGCCUGGGAAACCGGGUCUAAUACUGGAUAUGACUCCAUGACGCAUGUUGUGGGGUGGAAAGCCUUGUGCGGCUGAGGAUGGGCCCGCGGCCAAUCAGCUUGUUGGUGGGGUGAGGCCUACCAAGGCGACGACGGGUAGCCGGCCUGAGAGGCGACCGGCCACACUGGGACUGAGACACGGCCCAGACUCCUACGGGAGGCAGCAGUGGGGAAUCUUGCGCAAUGGGCGAAAGCCUGACGCAGCGACGCCGCGUGAGGG
RNAcentral lists this ribosomal RNA (375 nucleotides) under uncultured bacterium. Its description in RNAcentral is "bacterial SSU rRNA". It matches the Rfam family "Bacterial small subunit ribosomal RNA", at positions 29 to 407 of the family's 1533-position model. The record is from RNAcentral.